RNAcentral lists this ribosomal RNA (497 nucleotides) under uncultured bacterium. RNAcentral describes it as "partial 16S ribosomal RNA". It matches the Rfam family "Bacterial small subunit ribosomal RNA", at positions 28 to 507 of the family's 1533-position model. The record is from RNAcentral.
GAUGAACGCUGGCGGCGUGCCUAAUACAUGCAAGUCGAGCGAACGGACGCGAUGCUUGCUUCUCUGAUUUUAGUGGCGGACGGGUGAGUAACACGUGGAUAACCUACCUAUCAGACUGGGAUAACUUCGGGAAACCGGUGCUAAUACCGGAUAAUAUUUUGAACCGCAUGGUUCAAAAGUGAAAGACGGUCUUGCUUUCUCUUAUAGAUUGAUCCGCGCUGCAUUAGCUAGUUUGUUAGGUAACGGCUUACCAAGGCAACGAUGCAUAGCCGACCUGAGAGGGUGAUCGGCCACAUUGGAACUGAGACACGGCCCAGACUCCUACGGGAGGCAGCAGUAGGGAAUCUUCCGCAAUGGGCGAAAGCCUGACGGAGCAACGCCGCGUGAGUGAUGAAGGUCUUCGGAUCGUAAAACUCUGUUAUUAGGGAAGAACAAAUGUGAAAGUAACUGUGAACAUCUUGACGGUACCUAAUCAGAAAGCCACGGCUAACUACGUG